Molecule: microRNA precursor, 138 nt
Filed under: Gossypium hirsutum (cotton)
Lineage: Eukaryota; Viridiplantae; Streptophyta; Magnoliopsida; Malvales; Malvaceae
Description: MIR7502 microRNA precursor family
Rfam family: MIR7502 microRNA precursor family
Source: Rfam by way of RNAcentral
UGUUAAAAGUUUUAUUCAUUUUUAUUGUUAAAAAUUGAUGUGACUGAUAAAAUAAUCAGACAAUUAUAUGUGCAUAUAUCUUAUUCUGGCAUAUAGUGAUAAAGUUUUAAAAGUAUAAAUAAAUAAAAAAUUUUAAUA